UACGUAGGGUGCGAGCGUUGCCCGGAUUUAUUGGGCGUAAAGGGCGCGUAGGCGGCUCGGCACGUCCGUUGUGAAAUCGCCCGGCUCAACUGGGCGGGGUCAGCGGAUACGGUCGAGCUUGAGCAAGCUAGGGGGCAAUGGAAUUCCCGGUGUAGUGGUGGAAUGCGUAGAUAUCGGGAGGAACACCAGUGGCGAAGGCGGUUGCCUGGAGCUUUGCUGACGCUGAUGCGCGAAAGCGUGGGGAGCGAUCCGG
RNAcentral lists this ribosomal RNA (253 nucleotides) under uncultured bacterium. RNAcentral's name for it is "partial 16S ribosomal RNA". It matches the Rfam family "Bacterial small subunit ribosomal RNA", at positions 524 to 776 of the family's 1533-position model. The record is from RNAcentral.